This 87-nucleotide transfer RNA is filed under the name Felis catus (domestic cat). It matches the Rfam family "tRNA". Rfam says of the family: Transfer RNA (tRNA) molecules are approximately 80 nucleotides in length. Their secondary structure includes four short double-helical elements and three loops (D, anti-codon, and T loops). Lineage: Eukaryota; Metazoa; Chordata; Mammalia; Carnivora; Felidae. The record is from Rfam by way of RNAcentral.
GCCUGGGUGGCUCAGUCGGUUGAGCGUCCGACUUCGGCUCAGGUCAUGAUCUCGCGGGGUCUGUGGGUUCCAGCCCCACGUCGGGCU